Molecule: long non-coding RNA, 714 nt
Organism: Manis pentadactyla (Chinese pangolin)
Lineage: Eukaryota; Metazoa; Chordata; Mammalia; Pholidota; Manidae
Exons: 3
Source: RefSeq, a predicted model, not a curated record
UGAGUUUAGGAAAACAAUGUACCGGUUCCUUCAAAGUGUGAAGAACUUAAACGAUUGUGUUCUUGCAUCAGAAGCAGUUUACAAGUUUUCCAUCCCAGUUUUUCCAGUCAGGGUAUCUUUGUCUCCAUCUGCACCAGCUCCGACACCCUCGGGGUUCGGUCCCCCAGUCCCCACUCCCACCCCCAACAUCAAAGGGCCCCCAAGAGACGGCGGGACUUUGGUCUUCACCCCGCGCGAGGCAAUGCCACGCUAAAAAGGGGGAGCCCAGGUGGAGAGGGGAUUCAUGGCCAAGCCCCUUUGCCUGUGACUACCCUGGAUAUAGACAGCUGACCUACGAUCCUGAUGAAAGGCAGACCUCAGACAGGGAGUUACCAGUUCCCAUCCUUGGUCCAUCCUGCCCUACCGGUUUAAUAACUUCAAACUGAAACUUGAGGAUGUGGAUGUGAUGCCUGGAGCCCCAGCAGCUAUUGUACACCCAAGAAAGGGCACACUCUCUCUCUCUUGGACCUCAGCUGCCAUGCUGUGACAAAGCCCAGCCAGCCACACUGAGAGGCCCAUGUGGAAGAGAACUGAGGCUCCCCGCCAGCAGCCAGCCUCAGCUGCCAGCCGUGUGAGUGAGGCCAUUUCAGACCUUCCAGCUAUGCCAGCAGCCCAGUGAAGCUGGAGACUCAUUCCACUGACUCAUAGAUUUUUGAGAAAUAAUAAAUUGUUUUA